GUGGAGGAGAAAGGCCGUGGGACGAGGUAGGGGGUACAAAAUCUGAUAGGCUCUGUAAAGUGAAAAAGCCCUGCAGGAAAUUCUGAUAAGCCCAGCAGGAUGCGCCAUCCUGAGAACCACAGAGGGGUUCUGAAACCCACCUCAUCCGGAGGAACGUGGAGGAGGAACGCUCGCCAGAGAAGUUUUUUGAUUCCGGACUUCUUGGAGUCCAGAACGGCCCCUCCAAUUCCUUUCAAAGCCAGCCCCCAUAGAAACUCUCUAGCUUUUAGCUCUUCUCAGGACGAUCAGCCAGCCGACACCUGGAUUUGGCAAGCUGGCUGUGGAGUAGAGGCUGGGGCUCUGACUUGAACUUGCAGAAUCCUGGUCCAGCCCCUUCCCAGCUUUGUGGGUCUGGGUGGGUGGAAUUGCUCUGUAAGCUACAAAGGGCUGUGUGGAAAGGCAGAGGGUGACUAUUCGUGGCCUUCAGAGGAUCACACCUCAAGCUGGUGACAAGCAACCUUGCUGAUGUUGACGCUGAGAAGCAAUUUUGGCUGUCCUCCCCUCUGAAGCACGGUUUAGGGACAGCCCCAAACCCGCUAAGUCAAGUGAAUGCUUCUGAGCAGAGGAAGAAAUGAGCCCGGAAAGAUUUUGGAUUAGCCCGAAAGCCACAUAGCUACAUGGCAACAGAACUGACCCUGGAACUCAGGUCUCUUGACAACAUAUCCUUUUUUCCUGCUAAACGGAAUUAGUGAAACCAGAGUUUGAACACCGGCUCAUUCCUGAACCAGUAGUAUGACUUUGAGCAACUUGCUCUCCUUCUCUGAGUGUGUUUGCACAUACGGAAGGUGAGAAUAACAAUACUGGAGACCUCACAAGGCUGCCGUGAGGAGGAAUUAAUCUAUGGUGAACAGAGAGCUCCAUGCCUGGCACAGAAGAGGGGUGGGCUUAUGGAAUUCGAAACGAAGCAGCUGUUGUAAUAUCUUGAAUGACUAAACUGGAUCCAUUGUACUGAUGUGGCACCAUUAUUCAUAUUGUGGGGCACCCCUUUCUGUGUAGGCUCCAUCACAGAAGGUCUAGGCUCAGCUCAUGGCUGUAUCCCCAGAGCUUAGCAUAAUGCCUGGCAGGUCAUGGGCGCUUGGUAAAAGUUGGUUGAAUGAGUGAGUAAAUGAGGUACCAAGAGACACAAAGGAUGGUUGGAUAUCAGUGGCCAGUCCAAUGGCCCUUGGUUCAGGACUUCUUUUUCGCUUUAGAGCCUGGCUAGUCUGUGUCCCAAAAAAGCCUUCCCUCAUCCCAAACCAGAGGACCCCAAAUAUUUUCACCAAGCAUCCUUUCUUUGUCAUACAUUUGAGGAAAAAGUUAUUUCUCUAGAAGAGAAAUCAAGAAGGGAGAGAACGCCUUGUCUUAACUUCCAGGGACAAAUGGAAACUGAAACACUCACGCCUACGUGGCUCACGUUCCAGGGAGAGACACAGUAACGUGGCAUCUGGAAAAUACCCAGCUCAAGCCAGAUUUCUGUCAGUUCCUUCUCUGUCGGUCUGUGCUUCCCGGCUAGUGAAGUAUACGGUUUCUGCCUUUCCUUCUUCCCAAAGAAAACUUUGAUGAAAAAAAAGGGGUUCUGCCUCCUGGGGAAUCUGAUGGACUCCUUGGGGGCUGUCUUCGUCCAAGGUCAGUGGUCAUUACUGUCACCUCCAAGAGAGAACCAAGAAUCCUGGCUCUUUGGCUGCUGCCACUGUCUUGGCCACUAGGUGUCACCAGUGGUCCUGCAGCCCACCUCCAGACGGGAGGCAGGCAGAUGUCACAGGGAAUACUUCCUGUCUACAUCCUGCUCAAAGAAGAGGCUUUUGGAAUACCUACUCUCUUGCCACAGUGGACCUCAGCAGGCAAUCCCGCUCAGAAAAGAAAAUUGUUGGACGUAAGUGCUAGUCCUACCGUCUGAGUGCUGAAUCUUCUCCGUGGUCAUCUGAGAAAGGAGAGGUUCUCGCAGCAGGAGAGGUGGACAGACCUGGGUCCUGGUUCUGGCACUGCCACCCACUUCUGGUGUGACUCAGGGGAGCCACUCAGCCGUCUGAGCACCCCUACCUGAGAGAAAUUAAGACCUGACACAUGUUUGCAGCUUUUUCAUUUUGUCGCCGAGGUGAAUUUUAGUUUCCUGAGUGCUUACUGCACGGCUUACUUCAGGGGCUCAAAUGGUGCUAGGUGGGUGGGUACUAGUUUGAGGAUUAUGAAGAUAGGUGGGGGAGGACUGGGCUGUCUCUCCAGGCGAGGUUCAACAUACUCACCCCACCCCCAACUUUCUGGAGUCAGACAGACUAGGGUUUAUUGCAGCCUGACUCCAACCAGCUACUUCACUGGGUAUGUCACUUAACUCAUCUGAGCCUCAGUUUCCUCAUAUGCAGAAUGAGGGCAAUAUCUACCUUUCAGAGGGUGUGAUGGUUAAUUUUAUGUGUCAACUUGGCUGGGCCAGGGAGUACCCAGAUAUUUGGUGGAGCAUUAUUCUGGCUGUUUCUGUAAGGGGGUUUUGGAUGAGAUUAACAUUUAAAUCGGUAAGCUUUGAGUGAAGCAGAUUCCCCUCCAAAAUGUGGGUGUGCCUCAUCCAAUCAGUUGAAGGCCUGAGGAGAACAAAAACGCCAGCCUCCUGUGAGCAGGAAAGAAUUCUCCAGCAGACCGCCUUUGGACUUUCACCUGCUACACUGGCUCUUCCUGGUUCUAGAGCAGUUGGCCUUUGGAGCUGAACUGGAACAUCAGCUUUCUUGGGCCUCCAGGCACCACUCUACCCCGGAGAUUUUGGACUUGCCAGCUUCCAUAAUUGUGUGAACCAAUUCCUUAUAAUAAAUCAUAUAUACG
Molecule: long non-coding RNA, 2823 nt
Organism: Equus caballus (horse)
Lineage: Eukaryota; Metazoa; Chordata; Mammalia; Perissodactyla; Equidae
Source: Ensembl